Molecule: ribosomal RNA, 465 nt
Filed under: uncultured bacterium
Lineage: Bacteria
Description: partial 16S ribosomal RNA
Rfam family: Bacterial small subunit ribosomal RNA
Source: RNAcentral
GACGAAUGCUGGCGGCGUGCUUAACACAUGCAAGUCGAACGGAAAGGCCCUGCUUGCAGGGCACUCGAGUGGCGAACGGGUGAGUAACACGUGGGUGAUCUGCCCUGCACUUCGGGAUAAGCCUGGGAAACUGGGUCUAAUACCGGAUAUGACCUUCCAUGUAGUGUGGGGGGUGGAAAGAUUUAUCGGUGUGGGAUGAGCCCGCGGCCUAUCAGCUUGUUGGUGGGGUAAUGGCCUACCAAGGCGUCGACGGGUAGCCGGCCUGAGAGGGUGGACGGCCACAUUGGGACUGAGAUACGGCCCAGACUCCUACGGGAGGCAGCAGUGGGGAAUAUUGCACAAUGGGCGGAAGCCUUAUGCAGUGACGCCGCGUGGGGGAUGACGGCCUUCGGGUUGUAAACCUCUUUCGACAGGGACGAAGCUUCGGUGACGGUACCUGUAUAAGAAGCACCGGCUAACUACGUG